CAGCCGUAAACAAUAUGCGUUAGGUAUGUCGGUAACCACGUGUUACUGAUGUGCCGAAGAGAAAUCGUGAAACGCACCACCUGGGAAGUACGGUCGCAAGGCUGAAACUUAAAGGAAUUGGCGGGGGAGCACCACAACAGGUGGAGCCUGCGGUUUAAUUGAAUUCAACGCCGGACAUCUCACCGGAUAAGACAGCUGAAUGAUUGUCAAUCUGAAGGUUUUACAUGACUAGCUGAGAGGAGGUGCAUGGCGUCAGUGACU
RNAcentral lists this ribosomal RNA (261 nucleotides) under uncultured archaeon. Its description in RNAcentral is "partial 16S ribosomal RNA". It matches the Rfam family "Archaeal small subunit ribosomal RNA", at positions 748 to 1008 of the family's 1478-position model. The record is from RNAcentral.